Molecule: transfer RNA, 62 nt
Filed under: Heterobothrium okamotoi
Lineage: Eukaryota; Metazoa; Platyhelminthes; Monogenea; Mazocraeidea; Diclidophoridae
Description: tRNA-Gln
Source: RNAcentral
AGUAAUAUAGUGUAUUUGCAUUUUAUUUUUUGGUAAUAGAGGUGUUUAGUUGACUGUUACUA